This is a non-coding RNA of Nanorana parkeri, 65 nucleotides long. NCBI's taxonomy places the organism in Eukaryota, Metazoa, Chordata, Amphibia, Anura, Dicroglossidae. The record is from the annotation of a RefSeq genome assembly.
GGCCUCGGAGUGUCAUCACGUGUGGUUGCAAACCCCCAAAAGCCGAAUAAUACCUGCCGGGGCUU